RNAcentral lists this ribosomal RNA (418 nucleotides) under uncultured bacterium. RNAcentral's name for it is "bacterial SSU rRNA". It matches the Rfam family "Bacterial small subunit ribosomal RNA", at positions 361 to 776 of the family's 1533-position model. The record is from RNAcentral.
AUAUUGGUCAAUGGGCGCAAGCCUGAACCAGCCAUGCCGCGUGCAGGAUGACGGUCCUAUGGAUUGUAAACUGCUUUUGCACAGGAAGAAACACUCCGACGUGUCGGAGCUUGACGGUACUGUGGGAAUAAGGAUCGGCUAACUCCGUGCCAGCAGCCGCGGUAAUACGGAGGAUCCAAGCGUUAUCCGGAAUCAUUGGGUUUAAAGGGUCCGUAGGCGGUCUUGUAAGUCAGUGGUGAAAGCCCAUCGCUCAACGAUGGAACGGCCAUUGAUACUGCAGGACUUGAAUUAUUGGGAAGUAACUAGAAUAUGUAGUGUAGCGGUGAAAUGCUUAGAGAUUACAUGGAAUACCAAUUGCGAAGGCAGGUUACUACCAAUGGAUUGACGCUGAUGGACGAAAGCGUGGGUAGCGAACAGG